This 452-nucleotide ribosomal RNA is filed under the name Nucras livida. RNAcentral describes it as "partial 16S ribosomal RNA". It matches the Rfam family "Bacterial large subunit ribosomal RNA", at positions 1858 to 2566 of the family's 2925-position model. Lineage: Eukaryota; Metazoa; Chordata; Lepidosauria; Squamata; Lacertidae. The record is from RNAcentral.
CCUGCCCAGUGACCACUUUAAACGGCCGCGGUAUCCUAACCGUGCAAAGGUAGCAUAAUCACUUGUCUUCUAAAUAAGGACUAGAAUGAACGGCUACAUGAGGACUGACCUGUCUCUUGCAUUCAAUCAAUGAAAUUGAUCUUUCAGUCCAAAAGCUGAAAUAACCACAUAAGACGAGAAGACCCUGUGGAGCUUACUAAACUAAGCCCACCGCCAUGAACACUUAGUUUUCAGUUGGGGCGACUUUGGAGCACAAAAACCCCUCCAAAUAACUUAACCAGAUUAACAUAUCGACACCUCCUUUGACCCAGUAGUUUUAACCCCCCCCUACCUGAUCAAUGAACCAAGUUACCCCAGGGAUAACAGCGCCAUCCCCUUCAAGAGUCCCCAUCGACAAGGGGGUUUACGACCUCGAUGUUGGAUCAGGACACCCAAAUAGUGCAUCCGCUAUU